GGAGGGAUCAUUACUGAGUUUACGCUCUACAACCCUUUGUGAACAUACCUAUAACUGUUGCUUCGGCGGGUAGGGUCUCCGUGACCCUCCCGGCCUCCCGCCCCCGGGCGGGUCGGCGCCCGCCGGAGGAUAACCAAACUCUGAUUUAACGACGUUUCUUCUGAGUGGUACAAGCAAAUAAUCAAAACUUUUAACAACGGAUCUCUUGGUUCUGGCAUCGAUGAAGAACGCAGCGAAAUGCGAUAAGUAAUGUGAAUUGCAGAAUUCAGUGAAUCAUCGAAUCUUUGAACGCACAUUGCGCCCGCCAGCAUUCUGGCGGGCAUGCCUGUUCGAGCGUCAUUUCAACCCUCAAGCUCUGCUUGGUGUUGGGGCCCUACAGCUGAUGUAGGCCCUCAAAGGUAGUGGCGGACCCUCCCGGAGCCUCCUUUGCGUAGUAACUUUACGUCUCGCACUGGGAUCCGGAGGGACUCUUGCCGUAAAACCCCCAAUUUUCCAAAGGUUGACCUCGGAUCAGGUAGGAAUACCCGCUGAACUUAAGCAUAUCA
Molecule: ribosomal RNA, 545 nt
Filed under: Colletotrichum sp. BDS-2011
Lineage: Eukaryota; Fungi; Ascomycota; Sordariomycetes; Glomerellales; Glomerellaceae
Description: eukaryotic LSU rRNA
Rfam family: 5.8S ribosomal RNA (bases 186-339)
Source: RNAcentral